Cavia porcellus (domestic guinea pig) is the source of this 1186-nucleotide long non-coding RNA. RefSeq lists it as uncharacterized. The transcript is spliced from 2 exons. The record is from RefSeq and is a predicted model, not a curated record. Lineage: Eukaryota; Metazoa; Chordata; Mammalia; Rodentia; Caviidae.
CUCGUUACCCCAGGCCGGGGCCCCACGUGUGAGGCUGGGGCCCGAGGCUCAGUGCCAGGCCACCUUCUGAGGGGCUCGUCUUCGAAGGCUCCUUAGCCUUCCCGGUUGAAAGUUCAGAUGCCAUCCUGACCCCGGCCGGGCAGCUGGCCUCUGUCCACUCAGAGCGCUUUGGAAAGUAGACUCCGAGAGAGUUAUCCAACCACCAUUUCUUGGAAUCGUAACCGGCGGAGGGUUGCUGCAAUACUUUGGAUUAUCUUGUUUUCCUUAUCCGUGGAAGCCAAGAUUUUAGUGCUACAUCUGUGGCCUGCCAGUCUGCCCUCAGACACCCAAAGGACAAAGCUCUCGAGGGCUCAGCACGGCCGGUGCCAACUUGCAGGUAUCCUUAGCAGCGUGCCAAUCACAGCCCAUCUUGCUGGACCCCACUGUGCCCACUGCAGGCGCUGCUUGGGUCACUGUGUGUCCUGCCGACAGCGGCCCUGGGCCUCUCAUUACUCCCAGGGCCCCAUGAGGGAGGUCUCCUGUGGCACGUUUCCUGCCGUGUCCCACCGCCAUCUGCUCAAAGCCAGGGGCAACUUGGUCCCAGAUCCUGGCAGCCUGGCUUCAUCAGACGCCUUCUCCCGGCCCACCCGCUGCCAACACCCGCCUGGAUUCCAGUCCUAAAGGCAGCUGUCGUUGGUAUCAGGGAGUGAAGUCUCCCUCAGCCAUUCAUUUCACAGACUGGGACCCAUCUGGCCGGACGCUGCUCCCAGCCAUCCAUCAUCUCUGCGGUCGGCAGCAUCUGCCAAACCCCGAGGAUCGCCCCAUAUUUUGGCAAACGAAUGAACUCAGGAUCUGUCAAUGCGAGGUUUUGCUGGAGGCAGGCCUGGCUUUGGGCAGGGCGGGGUCCCAGAGCUGACAGCAGGGGGCCCCUGCUCAGAGGAGGCGGCGCCCUAAGGGGCCCCCCUGCAGCCACCCCAACCGCAGCAAGGCCCUGCUGUGGGGCGCUGCGUAAUUGGUUCUGCAUGGUGCUUCGGAAGGAGCUGGUGGGGAGGCCCCUGUCAGACCCCACAGCGACUUCCCACCCUAACCUGGUCCCAAUUAGGGAUCUGCAGGGCUGAGGGGCCUCGAAUUUAUUCACAAAGCUCUUUGACCAAAUUCUGCCUCCUUGGAGUUGUGUUUAUUCAUAAGAGUGCAGGGUGUUCUUUUG